CAUGCACUCACUAUGCUGACUGUGUGAAUGAAUCUUGCAAGAAUUGUAAUAUUCCAUCAUUGAUGGUCUUCAGCUGCUCAGUGCCCGCCUUUCAUUGUUCAUGGUUUUUGUUCACAUGCUCACCUUCUUGGCCUCCUCUUCAGUUUCAAUCACAUCACAUCUGUGUGUUUACAAUGUUAAAUAUUUAAUACCAAACUAAACUAAUCAAAAAUCACCACAUUACCAUGUUUCCAUGACUAGGAUCAAACCAAAAUUAUAGAGUAUUUUCAAACCUGUAAAAUGUUGUUGCUCAGUGUUCAUUUUCUUGGUGAUCACACAUUGUGAAAUUCUACAGAAAAGGGAAACUGAACUUGUUUUUUGUCACAUGGACUGUCAUAGACGGAGUUAAUCCCAAGAACUCCAAUGGCUACCAUCAGAAUAGCAGUCAGCAAAUAAAUGAAAAGUGUUGAGGCACACUUUUUAAACAAAAAACACUGUAAUAUUUCAUCACAAGUAACACAAUGGUUUAUAAAACACGAUUUUAUAACCUUGAAAUAUAUUACAGUUGUUUGAUAAGGCUGGAACUGAUUCUUAUUGUCAAUGGAAAAUUGUACUUAGUAGUCAGUAUAAGCUUUUAAUGAUAUAAGUUUGCAUAUGAUAGAAUACUGUAUGUUGACCUUUUGAUGACUUAGACUGUUGUCCACUACAAGACUGUUUUAUAAAUUCUUUCUCACAGCGAUAAUAGCUGAACAAGCAGGAAGAGGAGAGCUGGACACUUUUAUCUGCGCUCUCUAACAAGAAGAGGGGCCGCGUCCUUCUGAAUCUCACAACACACACGCAUACAUCUGAACCACUCUUAUCUUCACUCCCUACGCACUAACAUUCCUCUGCCUAUGAAUAGACGUAUUCACUGUUGUAUUACUUUUGUAUAUAAAUAAAGACAAGUGCAAGAACAGAGCGCGCAUCACAGGGCCCCCACUCUGGUGUGAGCGUUCUGUAACUGCCCUUGUAUACAAGUGAAAAACACAGCGUCUGUGUGUGUUUCUACCCUUACACUCUUAGCUGAAGAAGUGUCUUUAGAAUAAAUCUCUUGACAUUUAUUUUGGUCCUUCGAGCCGGAUCAGAAAUAUCAGAACUGUUAUCUGUGACUCUGUUCCAGGAUCUGGCAUACUGUUUCCUGACGCCGUGGAGCCAGCACCGAAGUCUGUGCACAGCCCUCUUAGACGAGGAGGACCCGGGACGUUCGAGUCCGGGCCGGUCUGGUCCACGGCGGUGGGAUUCAGUCUGACGAUCUGAACCACCAGUGAGACGUCUGAGGGUGAGAAACACUAUUUUGAUAUAUAAAACGGCCGCAAAGGUUUAAAGAAACGUGAUAAAUUAGGUUUAAGUUCGCCAAAAAGAACUAAGUUUAGACUGGUUUUAGAGGUAGCCAUUAAGUACUUCGUCAUAAAUUAGGUUUAAGUUCGCCAAAAGGAACUGUGUUUAGACCGGUUUUAGAGGCUGCUUUGCCGGUCCUGAAAGCCGAGGCUGACCUGGACUCCUGCUCUCCCCUCUACCAUCUCUGACCCUGACCCUGACCAAAUACUGCAGCAGCUGGACCCAUAACAACAAUCUAAAAAUGUCAACAGUGCUACAGGAAAGCGAUCUCAUGCAGCAGCAGAGACGGAGAGCGUUAAAUCCAAGGCCCGUUUCACUACACGGGGGAGAUUUCCAGACAGCUUCAGCUGACAGAGCUGUGACGAGACGCCCAUUAAGCCCGGAUGAAAAGUAAGGCCGAGCAAAAGAAUGCGGAUCUUGAUAACUCUGCAUUAACACUGUGCAGGACAGUGACGGACCAACAUGGAUGAUCGGGCAGCAGAAGAAAGGGCGUGCCAGAGACAGGAGGAGCAACUGAGGUCAAAAGGCACCUCAGAAUGGACAAAACACAGAAGAAGAUGCAGGUUUCACCUGCGGUGAGCAUGGACACUGGAGAAAGGACUGCCCCAAUUGGGGCCAGGACCAGGACAGACUGAACUUUGAGCAGCAGCAGCAAUGGUCGCAACCGGACUGAAAAGGAGGAGGGCAGGACCCCAGGGCACGCUUCAGGCCGUGGUUUACCCAAAACACCAGAACAGGAAAGUGAUAAACACGCAAACAUACACAAACAUACACAUCUACACACACUGACUCAGAAUGAAGAGAAACACACACCUGAACAGACGUGCACUUGUUGAUUGAGUGAGAAAUGACACACACACACAUCAGACAAUGUACACUCAUCAAACAUGACUGAUGCCCUGAACGCCUUGAGACAGAUCCAGCAGGCCCAAAAUCAGGACUAUGUAAGUAAUACACGUGACUGGUUUUCUUGGCUUUACACUGGCUCCUGGCUACAGCUGCUAAAAAGACUACUACUGCCUUUUCACUGUGCAAUACGUUUUGUUAAAAACCAACGGUGCAAUAGACUUCAAUACUUGAAAUACUUGAAAUACUUGCAAUUCCUUUGUAUUCUUAUUCUUAUUUAUUCUAUUUAUCCCUUUUUGUAUUUUUACUUUUAUUUUGUGUCUUUGUAACAUGUAUACUGCCAUGUCUGAAACUCAUGAUUAACCGCAUAAUUGUUUCCACUGUUGCUGCAUACAUAGCCGUGACAAAUGAUGAUGAUGAUGAUGACCCCGACCUGUUGGAGCAUGAAGACUUUGUGUGAUUAAUGAUGGUGUGAUAGAAACUGUACAACAAGAUGUUACAUACUGAUAUCUCACUUGAAAGUUAUACUGACAACAGGAGGGAAUGUCAAUGGAAAAUUGUACUUAGUAGUCAGUAUAAGCUUUUAAUGAUAUAAGUUUGCAUAUGAUAGAAUACUGUAUGUUGACCUUUUGAUGACUUAGACUGUUGUCCACUACAAGACUGUUUUAUAAAUUCUUUCUCACAGCGAUAAUAGCUGAACAAGCAGGAAGAGGAGAGCUGGACACUUUUAUCUGUGCUCUCUAACAAGAAGAGGGGCCGCGUCCUUCUGAAUCUCACAACACACACGCAUACAUCUGAACCACUCUUAUCUUCACUCCCUACGCACUAACAUUCCUCUGCCUAUGAAUAGACGUAUUCACUGUUGUAUUACUUUUGUAUAUAAAUAAAGACAAGUGCAAGAACAGAGCGCGCAUCACAGGGCCCCCACUCUGGUGUGAGCGUUCUGUGACCGCCCUUGUAUACAAGUGAAAAACACAGCGUCUGUGUGUGUUUCUACCCUUAGACUCUUAGCUGAAGAAGUGUCUUUAGAAUAAAUCUCUUGACACUUAUAUAGCACAUUUCUACUCAUGCGCAGCACUCAAAGUGCUUUAUAUACACGCCGCAUUCACACAGGUACUUUCUUCUAUGUUUUAAGUGCUUUCUAUCACAAACAUUCAAACUCCAGUUGAUGCAUCGCAGAGCAAUUUGGGGUUAGUAUGUUGCCCAAGGAUAUUUGGCAUGCAGACUGGGGCAGUUAGGGAUCAAACCACCAACCUUCUGAUCAAUAGAUGACUUGCAGUACCUCCAGAGCUACAGCCAGUCAGCAGACUUGAUUGCGUGGGUUGUGCCCAAUGAAAACACCUGAUUUGUCAAUGCCAAACAACAUAUUCUGCUAUUGACCCUUGCUUUAAGCUUUUGGUACCCCAUGUGCUGACAAUCAGAUGCUUGAUUGGUGCCUGAUUAGAAGUACCUCUUAGCAUAGACCCUACUACAGCAGUCAGUCGGUAACUUCUCCUAGUAUUGCCGGCCUGACUGAUCUGGAUGGGACCUGUGACUUAUGGCAAUUUUAGGUUGGUGUCCCACAAAACCAAGUUGUAGUGUUAUUUGAUGUGACCCCUGUACCAUCUCCAAAUUAAACGCCGAGUUCCCUAUAACAAGGCACGUGACAGACAGCUCGUGAAGUUUCUGUCCACAUAUUAUUUUUUUUCACAGCCUAACAAACGUUAACAUUAAUCCUCUAUCCUGUGACCCAUUUUUCAGCCGUCACCAUAUUCAUGCUUUUUUUUUUUUAUCUUAACAAAGGCGACAUCAUAAAUGCCACAAAAGUGCACCUCAAAGUCCAAAGAGCAGAAUUUCACAAUGUUUUGUGCACAUUAUUUGAUUAAAAAUCCAAAUUGGUGCUUGUGGGUGUGUUCUAGUCAAUAUCACCAUUCAUUUACAAUUUAACGUCUCGUGAUGUCUUGUGCUGAACUGGCCAUGGACCUACCUAGAGAUGGAAAGCUUAGCUUCUUAACUACAAGAAUAUUCAAAUGAGCGACUACUGGUGCUGAAAAUUUGGCAAAAAGCAUCCGUGUGAUGAGAGUUAAUGACUGAAAUGGAGACUUCAUUCAAGGAAAUGAAGAAGUUUAAAUAAAGAUUAGUUUGAACUUUCAAAGAUUCACAUAUAUUUUAGUGACGAGAGCAUUUCAUACAUUAGUUCAUGCUUUCAAAAUAUUUUCUACAGUAAAAAUACUGAUUGAAGUAUAAUCAGUGACUUUGCAUCUGUAUUUACCAUCUUUUCCUUUGCACACAGGCUGCUAACAGAAACAUGAUAUUAAAGCUGUAGAUUUAAUUGUUACCAGCUAUAAGUGUUUAUUAACAUGUUCAUCAUAUAACAUUGUGUUAAUAAUGUAAAACACUGUAAGUCUGUGUAUAAUAUAAAUGAACAUUUUACUGUAGCAUUGCUGUAGAUAAAUACAGCGUACUCACAAGGAAAAAACAGCGGUUUACUUUCUAGAAAUGUGUUGGAUAAUCCUUUUUCAUCUUAGCUGUAAGAUUUGCUACUUUGCUAAAAAGUUUAUUAAAUGCUUACAGAGAUUUGUGUGAUAGCAACAUGUGCUUAUGUAGGAUUGUGAUGCAUUAUUUCAUUCAUUUUAGCUCAGUGAUUUUGGUGCUUUUUCACAAAUCCAUUUUAUUUUGGUCUCACAUGGAAGAUCGUUCCAGCUCUAGUAGAAGUUUGCUUUGGGAUACAACGCUGCACAGUCCUCAUUGUUUUCAUCAUUUGGCUCUCCAUCGUUCCAGUACCUGAAGCAAAUGACAAGUUACACUGCAUUUCUUUUCACACAGUCAUUAUUGUCAUUAUUCACCUUUUAUCUUAUUCAUGUAAUUUAUCCUUCAGGAGUAACUGUUAAGUGACCAUUUUCUACAAACACAACUGCUGAUUUACACACGUUUCACAGUGUGCAUUCGUUUAAUCAGGAUUCCUGCUGACAUUUUUUGUUAUUUAUGUUUUAAAUAACAUGGUUCUCUUAAAAUAAAUUGUGUUAACUUAACAGAAC
Molecule: long non-coding RNA, 5219 nt
Organism: Oreochromis aureus
Lineage: Eukaryota; Metazoa; Chordata; Actinopteri; Cichliformes; Cichlidae
Source: Ensembl